CUCAUGUUAAUAGUUUUGAUCAGUUCUGAGUUGAUUAUGAUCGGUUUCUCAUGUGUCUCUGCAGAUUAAGAGUCUGAUGAGUCGAGCUGAAUACCUGAAAGAGCUGAUCAAGAUGCGGGAAACUCAGACCGACGAGUCGCUGAAGAAAGACGCCGUGGCUGAAUCCGUCAGAUCCUCCUGUUGUUUACAGUGAUACGGGUCCUCGCCAUGGCAACCGAUGCCACGCGUCACAUGGCCUGAGGAUCCCCAGCAUCUGAUUGGUUCCUGGCAGACGGUCAAACUGUGUGUGUUCAUCUGGACGAGAUUUAAGAAAUAAACCUUCACACUGAGAGACUCAA
Rhinichthys klamathensis goyatoka is the source of this 338-nucleotide long non-coding RNA. RefSeq lists it as uncharacterized. The transcript has 3 exons. NCBI's taxonomy places the organism in Eukaryota, Metazoa, Chordata, Actinopteri, Cypriniformes, Leuciscidae. The record is from RefSeq and is a predicted model, not a curated record.